This 329-nucleotide ribosomal RNA is filed under the name uncultured eukaryote. Its description in RNAcentral is "partial 18S ribosomal RNA". It matches the Rfam family "Eukaryotic small subunit ribosomal RNA", at positions 1470 to 1796 of the family's 1831-position model. The record is from RNAcentral.
CCCUUAGAUGUUCGGGGCCGCACGCGCGCUACACUGAAGGAAUCAGCACGUCUUUCUCCUUGUCCGAAAGGACUGGGUAACCCGCUGAACCUCCUUCGUGCUAGGGAUUGGGGCUUGUAAUUCUUCCCCAUGAACGAGGAAUUCCCAGUAAGCGCGAGUCAUAAGCUCGCGUUGAUUACGUCCCUGCCCUUUGUACACACCGCCCGUCGCUACUACCGAUUGGACGGUUUAGCGAGGCCCUCGGAUCGGUACCAGGAUUCUUAACCGAGUCACUGGCAACCGAGAAGGCGGUCGAACUUGACCGUCUAGAGGAAGUAAAAGUCGUAACA